Molecule: long non-coding RNA, 208 nt
Filed under: Lathyrus oleraceus (garden pea)
Lineage: Eukaryota; Viridiplantae; Streptophyta; Magnoliopsida; Fabales; Fabaceae
Description: Pisum sativum (pea) long non-coding RNA (PSAT_LNC005349)
Source: RNAcentral
UGAACACAAGAAAAUUAAAAUAAUAAAAAAGGGAGCUAAUACACGAUACAUAAUUGCCUAAGUAAUCGAGUCAAUGAAAUAUUUUUUUUAAAAAUUAUUUAUUUUAUAAGAAAAAUGUAUUCAAGAGAAUACAUAGAGAUACUCAACCCUAAUAGAGAAAAAAAAACGAAAUCCCACGAAUAAACAAGAGGAAAAAAAAUCCCUAAAC